This 349-nucleotide ribosomal RNA is filed under the name bacterium enrichment culture clone ALO1_GLFRUDD03G7FGJ. RNAcentral's name for it is "bacterial SSU rRNA". It matches the Rfam family "Bacterial small subunit ribosomal RNA", at positions 9 to 358 of the family's 1533-position model. The record is from RNAcentral.
GAGUUUGAUCCUGGCUCAGAUUGAACGCUGGCGGCAUGCCUUACACAUGCAAGUCGAACGGCAGCACGGGAGCUUGCUCCUGGUGGCGAGUGGCGAACGGGUGAGUAAUGCAUCGGAACGUAUCCUGGAGUGGGGGAUAACGUAGCGAAAGUUACGCUAAUACCGCAUAUUCUGUGAGCAGGAAAGCGGGGGACCUUCGGGCCUCGCGCUCUUGGAGCGGCCGAUGUCGGAUUAGCUAGUUGGUGAGGUAAAGGCUCACCAAGGCGACGAUCCGUAGCAGGUCUGAGAGGAUGAUCUGCCACACUGGAACUGAGACACGGUCCAGACUCCUACGGGAGGCAGCAGUGGG